Molecule: ribosomal RNA, 253 nt
Filed under: uncultured bacterium
Lineage: Bacteria
Description: partial 16S ribosomal RNA
Rfam family: Bacterial small subunit ribosomal RNA
Source: RNAcentral
UACGGAGGGGGCAAGCGUUAUUCGGAAUUAUUGGGCGUAAAGGGCGCGUAGGCGGCCUGGCAAGUGGAAGGUGAAAUCCCUCGGCUUAACCGAGGAACUGCCCUCCAAACUGCUUGGCUUGAGUCCGGGAGAGGUGAGUGGAAUUCCCAGUGUAGCGGUGAAAUGCGUAGAUAUUGGGAGGAACACCAGUGGCGAAGGCGGCUCACUGGACCGGAACUGACGCUGAGGCGCGAAAGCGUGGGGAGCGAACAGG